RNAcentral lists this ribosomal RNA (253 nucleotides) under uncultured bacterium. RNAcentral's name for it is "partial 16S ribosomal RNA". It matches the Rfam family "Bacterial small subunit ribosomal RNA", at positions 524 to 776 of the family's 1533-position model. The record is from RNAcentral.
UACGUAGGGUGCGAGCGUUAAUCGGAAUUACUGGGCGUAAAGCGUGCGCAGGCGGUUCGUUGUGUCUGUGGUGAAAGCCCCGGGCUCAACCUGGGAAUUGCAUUUGAGACUGCGUAGCUAGGGUGCGGAAGAGGGAAGCGGAAUUUCCGGUGUAGCGGUGAAAUGCGUAGAUAUCGGAAGGAACACCAGUGGCGAAAGCGGCUUCCUGGUCCAGCACCGACGUUCAGGCACGAAAGCGUGGGGAGCAAACAGG